Molecule: ribosomal RNA, 467 nt
Filed under: uncultured bacterium
Lineage: Bacteria
Description: partial 16S ribosomal RNA
Rfam family: Bacterial small subunit ribosomal RNA
Source: RNAcentral
ACGAACGCUGGCGGCGUGCUUCACACAUGCAAGUCGCACGGAAAGGCCCUGCUUUUGUGGGGUGCUCGAGUGGCGAACGGGUGAGUAACACGUGAGUUACCUGCCCUUGACUUUGGUUUAACUUCAGGAAACUUGGGCUAAUACCGGUUAGGAGCUCCUGCUUCUUGUUUGUGGUUGGAAAGUUUCGGCGGUUGGGGAUGGACUCGCUGCUUAUCAGCUUGUUUGUGGGGUAGUGGCUUACCAAGGCUUUGACGGGUAGCCGGCCUGAGAGGGUGACCGGCCACAUUGGGACUGAGAUACGGCCCAGACGCCUACGGGAGGCAGCAGUGGGGAAUAUUGCACAAUGGGAGGAAGCCUGAUGCAGAAACGCCGCGUGCGGGAUGACGGCCUUCGGGGUGUAAACAGAUUUCGCCUGUGACGAAGCGUGAGUGACGGUAAUGGGUAAAGAAGCACCGGCUAACUACGUG